This is a non-coding RNA of Elaeis guineensis (African oil palm), 1190 nucleotides long. The record is from RefSeq and is a predicted model, not a curated record. Lineage: Eukaryota; Viridiplantae; Streptophyta; Magnoliopsida; Arecales; Arecaceae.
CUCGUUUGAAUUGGCACAUCAAAUUUGAUAUUAUCUGUAGAUAUAUUUGUAGUGGGCAGAGACUAAUUAUCAUCUUGUUCUCCUCAAAAGAAUGGGUUCUUUCCCUGCUUGUGCUAGAACUUAUUAUUGCAGGAAUUUUUGGCAUUGAAAAUAUGUGCAAUAUGAUGCUGGAUUUUUUGGUUGGAAGAGUUUCCCACUAUUUAUUUAUAUGGUAUGUGGCAGAUUUUUUUUUUGGGAUGAUUUAAGUCAAUUUUUCUUUUGUCUUGAUUCAUCAUCAGUUAUCCAGAGAUGUUUUUACUCUGUAUUCAACUGAUUUUCUUGAGUUGGGGUUUCCAAUUUUAUCCUUCAUCACUGCUUGAAUUUUCAUUUCCUUCACUCUAGUGGGUGAUUUGUUGGGGCUGUCAUUUAGCAGGGCUUCUUUUUCCUAUUUUAGUUUCUGAUGGAUCUAGAGUUUGUGCAUGUAUCUUAUGGUUUCCAGAGAUUGUUGGGAUGCUUGAUCUUCUGUUUCGCAGGUGAGUUGGGUGUUGCAGCAUGAAGUCUGUGAUGUCGUAUGUUCUUUCGGAUGGUGAAUACUUUCGAAGAUCUUCUAAUUUGGUUCAUCUCUGCACAGAAGUAAUGGAGUGUGGUGGUAUCUCUUCACUUCCCUUGCACUUAAUUGUUUUGUGGUAUGUCCAGAUGAUAUCCCCCCUUCCAGCAUUUGAAGCCCAAGGAAUGCAAUAUAGAAAUGCCCUUUUUCUCGGCACACUUGCACUUGGUGCUCUUGGAAGCAGUUUCUUAUUUGACCAUUCUGCACUUACUGGAUUAUAGAAGGUGAUGUUACAUCUUUUGCUUCCCUGGAAGUGCAGCAACUUGUGGCAUGUAGAGUUUGUGGUUGAUCAUAUUAUUCCAUAAAAGCCUGAGGAGUGGUCCUCCAAGGUGUUUGCGGUUCCAGAUAUUAAUGAUGUUUACCCCUUUGCGUGCAGCAAAUAAACAGCCUUUCAGAAGGGUACUUCUAUUAGAGUGUUAUUUGGUGAUGGUAGAUCUGCUAAGGAUUCUUUCUACGUAACUUUAUAAUAGUCACACUUCAUCUAAAUUGUAAUAUGUUCCAUUUAGUUAACAUGUUUGUUGCAAGAUGAAUUGAGAUAAUUGAAGUUAUUGAUCUUGUAACAACCUGCUGGUUCUUUUCCUUUAUAUACAAAUGAUAUUUUAUA